RNAcentral lists this ribosomal RNA (1025 nucleotides) under uncultured Lactobacillus sp. RNAcentral describes it as "bacterial SSU rRNA". It matches the Rfam family "Bacterial small subunit ribosomal RNA", at positions 48 to 1031 of the family's 1533-position model. The record is from RNAcentral. Lineage: Bacteria; Bacillati; Bacillota; Bacilli; Lactobacillales; Lactobacillaceae.
CUAAUACAUGCAAGUCGAACGCACUCUCGUUUAGAUUGAAGGAGCUUGCUCCUGAUUGAUAAACAUUUGAGUGAGUGGCGGACGGGUGAGUAACACGUGGGUAACCUGCCCUAAAGUGGGGGAUAACAUUUGGAAACAGGUGCUAAUACCGCAUAAAACCUAACACCGCAUGGUGUAGGGUUGAAAGAUGGUUUCGGCUAUCACUUUAGGAUGGACCCGCGGUGCAUUAGUUAGUUGGUGAGGUAAAGGCUCACCAAGACCGUGAUGCAUAGCCGACCUGAGAGGGUAAUCGGCCACACUGGGACUGAGACACGGCCCAGACUCCUACGGGAGGCAGCAGUAGGGAAUCUUCCACAAUGGACGAAAGUCUGAUGGAGCAACGCCGCGUGAGUGAAGAAGGUUUUCGGAUCGUAAAACUCUGUUGUUGGAGAAGAAUGUAUCUGAUAGUAACUGAUCAGGUAGUGACGGUAUCCAACCAGAAAGCCACGGCUAACUACGUGCCAGCAGCCGCGGUAAUACGUAGGUGGCAAGCGUUGUCCGGAUUUAUUGGGCGUAAAGCGAGCGCAGGCGGUUUCUUAAGUCUGAUGUGAAAGCCUUCGGCUCAACCGAAGAAGUGCAUCGGAAACUGGGAAACUUGAGUGCAGAAGAGGACAGUGGAACUCCAUGUGUAGCGGUGAAAUGCGUAGAUAUAUGGAAGAACACCAGUGGCGAAGGCGGCUGUCUGGUCUGUAACUGACGCUGAGGCUCGAAAGCAUGGGUAGCAAACAGGAUUAGAUACCCUGGUAGUCCAUGCCGUAAACGAUGAGUGCUAGGUGUUGGAGGGUUUCCGCCCUUCAGUGCCGCAGCUAACGCAUUAAGCACUCCCGCCUGGGGAGUACGACCGCAAGGUUGAAACUCAAAGGAAUUGACGGGGGCCCGCACAAGCGGUGGAGCAUGUGGUUUAAUUCCGAAGCAACGCGAGACCCUUACCAGGUCUUGACAUCCUUUGACCCUCUAGAGAUAGAGCUUUCCCUUCCGGGACAAAG